Molecule: transfer RNA, 72 nt
Filed under: Camelus bactrianus (Bactrian camel)
Lineage: Eukaryota; Metazoa; Chordata; Mammalia; Artiodactyla; Camelidae
Also listed under: 3 other names
Rfam family: tRNA
About the family: Transfer RNA (tRNA) molecules are approximately 80 nucleotides in length. Their secondary structure includes four short double-helical elements and three loops (D, anti-codon, and T loops). Further hydrogen bonds mediate the characteristic L-shaped molecular structure. tRNAs have two regions of fundamental functional importance: the anti-codon, which is responsible for specific mRNA codon recognition, and the 3' end, to which the tRNAs corresponding amino acid is attached (by aminoacyl-tRNA synthetases). tRNAs cope with the degeneracy of the genetic code in two manners: having more than one tRNA (with a specific anti-codon) for a particular amino acid; and 'wobble' base-pairing, i.e. permitting non-standard base-pairing at the 3rd anti-codon position.
Source: Rfam by way of RNAcentral
GAGGGUAUAGCUCAGUGGUAAAGUGCAUGCUUAGCAUGCAUGAAGUCCUGGAUUCAAUACCCAGUACCUCCA